Molecule: long non-coding RNA, 382 nt
Filed under: Androctonus crassicauda
Lineage: Eukaryota; Metazoa; Arthropoda; Arachnida; Scorpiones; Buthidae
Source: RNAcentral
CAAAAAGAGAAGGAAUAUGAAGAUCAGAUCCACUAUCAACCAGAUAGAAUAUAGAGAAAUAUGCAAAAAUAGUAUGAAAAAGAAUUAGAGAAGAUAUACAAAGAUUCAACAUAGAAACAAUUAAAAUAGCCUUUGAGAACAGCAAUAUCUUUCGAUCAACAUGGAGAGACAUAAUGACUGGCAGGUACCAACUAAAUGACAUCAAAGAUGAUAUUGGAGAACUUAUCACCAAAACAAAACAAUAUAGUACAGUGUAUAGUAUAGUUAACAAUAUAGUAGAAAAGGCAGCAAUGUUCUUUGAGGAACUAUACAGACCAAGAGACCAACUGGCAACAAGAUCAGCAAAUAUAGAAGAUAUCUCAGUAAUACUAUUGCAAGAAGU